This 727-nucleotide ribosomal RNA is filed under the name Bacillus sp. PSB. Its description in RNAcentral is "bacterial SSU rRNA". It matches the Rfam family "Bacterial small subunit ribosomal RNA", at positions 61 to 786 of the family's 1533-position model. Lineage: Bacteria; Bacillati; Bacillota; Bacilli; Caryophanales; Bacillaceae. The record is from RNAcentral.
GUCGAGCGAAGGAUAAGAGCUUGCUCUUAUGAAGUUAGCGGCGGAGGGUGAGUAACACGUGGGUAACCUGCCCAUAAGACUGGGAUAACUCCGGGAAACCGGGGCUAAUACCGGAUAACAUUUUGAACCGCAGGGUUCGAAAUUGAAAGGCGGCUUCGGCUGUCACUUAUGGAUGGACCCGCGUCGCAUAGCUAGUUGGUGAGGUAACGGCUCACCAAGGCACGAUCGUAGCCACCUGAGAGGGUGAUCGGCCACACUGGGACUGAACACGGCCCAACCCACGGGGGCAGCAGUAGGGAAUCUUCCGCAAUGGACGAAAGUCUGACGGACACCGCCCGGAGUGAUGAAGGCUUUCGGGUCGUAAAACUCUUUGUUAGGGAAGAACAAGUGCUAGUUGAAUAAGCUGGCACCUUGACGGUACCUAACCAGAAAGCCACGGCUAACUACGUGCCAGCAGCCGCGGUAAUACGUAGGUGGCAAGCGUUAUCCGGAAUUAUGGGGCGUAAAGCGCGCGCAGGUGGUUUCUUAAGUCUGAUGUGAAAGCCCACGGCUCAACCGUGGAGGGUCAUUGGAAACUGGGAGACUUGAGUGCAGAAAGGAAAGUGGAAUUCCAUGUGUAGCGGUGAAAUGCGUAGAGAUAUGGAGGAACACCAGUGGCGAAGCUACUUUCUGGUCUGUAACUGACACUGAGGCGCGAAGCGUGGGGGAGCACACAGGAUUAGAUACA